AACCUUACUAGAUCCAGCUGGACCUGACUGUAAAGCUCAUAUACUCAACCACUACACUGUUAUUGUUGUUGUUUAUAGUAUUUUAUGUUUCCUUGUUUCCAAAUAUAGCCGAUGGUGUUGCUUUGGGAGCAGCAGCGUCUACUUCACAGACUAGUGUCCAGUUAAUUGUGUUUGUGGCAAUCAUGCUACAUAAGGCACCAGCUGCUUUUGGACUGGUUUCCUUCUUGAUGCAUGCUGGCUUAGAGCGGAAUCGAAUCAGAAAGCACUUGCUGGUCUUUGCACUGGCAGCACCAGUUAUGUCCAUGGUGACAUACUUAGGACUGAGUAAGAGCAGUAAAGAAGCCCUUUCAGAGGUGAACGCCACGGGAGUGGCCAUGCUUUUCUCUGCCGGGACAUUUCUUUAUGUUGCCACAGUACAUGUCCUCCCUGAGGUGGGCGGAAUAGGGCACAGCCACAAGCUCGAUGCCACGGGAGGGAGAGGCCUCAGCCGCCUGGAAGUGGCAGCCCUGG
This 510-nucleotide small RNA is filed under the name Pongo abelii (Sumatran orangutan). RNAcentral describes it as "retained intron". Lineage: Eukaryota; Metazoa; Chordata; Mammalia; Primates; Hominidae. The record is from RNAcentral.